CCUACGGGAGUCAGCAGUGGGGAAUAUUGGGCAAUGGAGGAAACUCUGACCCAGCAAUGCCGCGUGAAUGAAGAAGGUCUUCGGAUUGUAAAGUUCUUUAGUCAGGGAAGAAUAAAAUGACGGUACCUGAAGAAUAAGCUCCGGCUAACUACGUGCCAGCAGCCGCUGUAAUACUUAGGGAGCAAGCGUUGGUCGGAAUGACUGGGCGUAAAGGGUUCGUAGGGGGUUAUACAAGUUAGAAGUGAAAUACCCAGGGCUUAACUCGGGUGCUGCUUCUAAAACUGGAAGACUUGAGUGGAGUAGAGGUUAGGGGAAUGUCUAGGUGUGCGGUGGAAUGGGUAGAUAAUAGGAGGAAAACCAGAGGCGAAGGCGGCUAAACGGACUGCAAAUGACGCUGAGGCAAGAAAGGGUGGGGAGCAAACAGGAUUAGAUACCCCAGUAGUC
RNAcentral lists this ribosomal RNA (444 nucleotides) under uncultured bacterium. RNAcentral describes it as "partial 16S ribosomal RNA". It matches the Rfam family "Bacterial small subunit ribosomal RNA", at positions 338 to 795 of the family's 1533-position model. The record is from RNAcentral.